RNAcentral lists this ribosomal RNA (1372 nucleotides) under uncultured bacterium. Its description in RNAcentral is "bacterial SSU rRNA". It matches the Rfam family "Bacterial small subunit ribosomal RNA", at positions 28 to 1381 of the family's 1533-position model. The record is from RNAcentral.
GAUGAACGCUGGCGGCGUGCCUAAUACAUGCAAGUCGAGCGAACGGACGAGAAGCUUGCUUCUCUGAUGUUAGCGGCGGACGGGUGAGUAACACGUGGAUAACCUACCUAUAAGACUGGGAUAACUUCGGGAAACCGGAGCUAAUACCGGAUGAUAUUUUGAACCGCAUGGUUCAAAAGUGAAAGACGGUCUUGCUGUCACUUAUAGAUGGAUCCGCGCUGCAUUAGCUAGUUGGUAAGGUAACGGCUUACCAAGGCAACGAUGCAUAGCCGACCUGAGAGGGUGAUCGGCCACACUGGAACUGAGACACGGUCCAGACUCCUACGGGAGGCAGCAGUAGGGAAUCUUCCGCAAUGGGCGAAAGCCUGACGGAGCAACGCCGCGUGAGUGAUGAAGGUCUUCGGAUCGUAAAACUCUGUUAUUAGGGAAGAACAUAUGUGUAAGUAACUGUGCACAUCUUGACGGUACCUAAUCAGAAAGCCACGGCUAACUACGUGUCAGCAGCCGCGGUAAUACGUAGGUGGCAAGCGUUAUCCGGAAUUAUUGGGCGUAAAGCGCGCGUAGGCGGUUUUUUAAGUCUGAUGUGAAAGCCCACGGCUCAACCGUGGAGGGUCAUUGGAAACUGGAAAACUUGAGUGCAGAAGAGGAAAGUGGAAUUCCAUGUGUAGCGGUGAAAUGCGCAGAGAUAUGGAGGAACACCAGUGGCGAAGGCGACUUUCUGGUCUGUAACUGACGCUGAUGUGCGAAAGCGUGGGGAUCAAACAGGAUUAGAUACCCUGGUAGUCCACGCCGUAAACGAUGAGUGCUAAGUGUUAGGGGGUUUCCGCCCCUUAGUGCUGCAGCUAACGCAUUAAGCACUCCGCCUGGGGAGUACGACCGCAAGGUUGAAACUCAAAGGAAUUGACGGGGACCCGCACAAGCGGUGGAGCAUGUGGUUUAAUUCGAAGCAACGCGAAGAACCUUACCAAAUCUUGACAUCCUUUGACAACUCUAGAGAUAGAGCCUUCCCCUUCGGGGGACAAAGUGACAGGUGGUGCAUGGUUGUCGUCAGCUCGUGUCGUGAGAUGUUGGGUUAAGUCCCGCAACGAGCGCAACCCUUAAGCUUAGUUGCCAUCAUUAAGUUGGGCACUCUAAGUUGACUGCCGGUGACAAACCGGAGGAAGGUGGGGAUGACGUCAAAUCAUCAUGCCCCUUAUGAUUUGGGCUACACACGUGCUACAAUGGACAAUACAAAGGGCAGCGAAACCGCGAGGUCAAGCAAAUCCCAUAAAGUUGUUCUCAGUUCGGAUUGUAGUCUGCAACUCGACUACAUGAAGCUGGAAUCGCUAGUAAUCGUAGAUCAGCAUGCUACGGUGAAUACGUUCCCGGGUCU